UGCACAACAACUGGGAUAAAACAAGCCAUCCCUUAAGGGGGGGUAAAAAUCUCACUUCACCACAGCUUUCAACACCUUACGCCCAAAAACAGAAUCCUCAAGAGGCCUGUACGUCUAACCGACAAUGCCUGUAGAAGGUAUGAAGGGAGGACCAAGUUGCUGCAUUGCAUAUUUGGGAAGGCGAUGAUGAAGCUCUUAAAGCCCAUGAAGAAGCAACACCUCUGGUAGAAUGAUCCCACAGUUUCAGAGGAGGAGAUGUAUGCCAGUACAAUAGAUUCC
Molecule: non-coding RNA, 279 nt
Organism: Pelobates cultripes (western spadefoot toad)
Lineage: Eukaryota; Metazoa; Chordata; Amphibia; Anura; Pelobatidae
Source: the annotation of a GenBank genome assembly